This 477-nucleotide ribosomal RNA is filed under the name Pisionidens sp. EN-2012. RNAcentral's name for it is "partial 16S ribosomal RNA". It matches the Rfam family "Bacterial large subunit ribosomal RNA", at positions 1818 to 2597 of the family's 2925-position model. The record is from RNAcentral. Lineage: Eukaryota; Metazoa; Annelida; Polychaeta; Phyllodocida; Pisionidae.
GCCUUUUGAAUUAUAUAUAAAAGGUACAUCCUGCCCGGUGAAAAAUUUAACGGCCGCGGUACUCUGACCGUGCAAAGGUAGCAUAAUAAUUUGCCUUUUAAUUGAAGGCUAGAAUGAAUGGACAAACGAGGUUUACGCUGUCUCUUUUUAUUUCAUAGAAAUUAGUUUUCAGGUGAAGAAACCUGAAUCUUUAAAAAAGACAAGAAGACCCUAUUGAGUUUUACUUUUAAGAAACCAUUUUUUCUAGAAGUUUGGUUGGGGCGACCAAGGAAUAAUUUAAUCUUCCUUUAAAAAUUCAACUUUAUAGUUUAAACUGAUCCUAUUUUGAUCAAAUGAAUUAACUACCAUAGGGAUAACAGGCUUAUUUUCUCUGAGAGUCCAUAUUAAUGAGAAAGUUUGGCACCUCGAUGUUGGCUUAGGGUAACCUCCAAAUGCAGAAGUUUGGAUUAAGUUAGUUUGUUCAACUAUUAAAUCCCU